AACGAACGCUGGCGGCGUGUUUAAGACAUGCAAGUCGCACGGGAUAAGACAUGUAGUAAUACUUGUUUUAUUUAGUGGCGCACGGGUGAGUAACACGUGAAUUACAUGCCCUAUAGUGGGGAAUAGCCCAGGGAAACUUGGAUUAAUACCCCAUGGUAUCGAAAGAUUAAAGGUGGCCGCAAGGCUGUCGCUAUAGGAUUGGUUCACGCCCUAUCAGCUUGUUGGUGAAGUAACGGCUCACCAAGGCAAUGACGGGUACCUGGUCUGAGAGGACGAUCAGGCACACUGGGACUGAGACACGGUCCAGACACCUACGGGUGGCAGCAGUCGAGAAUAAUUCACAAUGGGGGCAACCCUGAUGGUGCAACGCCGCGUGGAGGAUGACGGUCUUCGGAUUGUAAACUCCUGUCAUCUGGGAGAAAGACCUGACGGUAUAUAGCCGGCAGGGUUGAUAGUACCAGAAGAGGAAGGGACGGCUAACUUCGUGCCAGCAGCCGCCGUAA
RNAcentral lists this ribosomal RNA (503 nucleotides) under uncultured bacterium. Its description in RNAcentral is "partial 16S ribosomal RNA". It matches the Rfam family "Bacterial small subunit ribosomal RNA", at positions 29 to 523 of the family's 1533-position model. The record is from RNAcentral.